Molecule: ribosomal RNA, 456 nt
Filed under: uncultured bacterium
Lineage: Bacteria
Description: bacterial SSU rRNA
Rfam family: Bacterial small subunit ribosomal RNA
Source: RNAcentral
GCACAAGCGGUGGAGCAUGUGGUUUAAUUCGACGCAACGCGAAGAACCUUACCUGGGCUCGAAAUGUACAGGACAACGGUAGAAAUAUCGUCUCCCAGCAAUGGGUCUGUAUAUAGGUGCUGCAUGGCUGUCGUCAGCUCGCGUCGUGAGAUGUUGGGUUAAGUCCCGCAACGAGCGCAACCCUUAUCUCCAGUUGCUACCAUUUAGUUGAGCACUCUGGCGAAACCGCCUCGGAUAACGGGGAGGAAGGUGGGGAUGGCGUCAAGUCCUCAUGGCCUUUAUGUCCAGGGCUACACACGUGCUACAAUGGCCGGUACAAACCGUCGCAAACCCGUGAGGGGGAGCUAAUCGGAAAAAGCCGGCCUCAGUUCGGAUUGGAGUCUGCAACUCGACUCCAUGAAGCUGGAAUCGCUAGUAAUCGCGGAUCAGAACGCCGCGGUGAAUACGUUCCCGGGC